ACGACUCUCGGCAACGGAUAUCUCGGCUCUCGCAUCGAUGAAGAACGUAGCGAAAUACGAUACUUGGUGUGAAUUGCAGAAUCCCGUGAACCAUCGAGUUUUUGAACGCAAGUUGCGCCCAAAGCCAUUAGGCUAAGGGCACGUCUGCCUGGGCGUCACGCA
This 162-nucleotide ribosomal RNA is filed under the name Palicourea flaviflora. RNAcentral's name for it is "Psychotria flaviflora 5.8S ribosomal RNA". It matches the Rfam family "5.8S ribosomal RNA". From Rfam's summary of the family: 5.8S ribosomal RNA (5.8S rRNA) is a component of the large subunit of the eukaryotic ribosome. Lineage: Eukaryota; Viridiplantae; Streptophyta; Magnoliopsida; Gentianales; Rubiaceae. The record is from RNAcentral.